UGCUUCGGCUCUCGGCCGCUUCGCCUCCUUCCGCAGCCCCCGAGCGCACAAAGAGAGAAAGAGAAAGAAAAAGCGGAGCCCUGCGCCCGGCAAACUCCAAACCGCAAGUUCUCACUACAGAAACAACAACAACAACAACCAAUUCUGGAGGCUUUAAUAAAACCUAAUUAGAGAGCGAGAGAGGGAGAGAGCCACGUACAGAAAAACAAAGGGAAUCCCCGGUUCCUAAUUGUGAAAGUGAGUUUCAGCCCUGCAGGAUGGCGGAUGGCAGGCUCUCGAGAAAGACCGGGAGGCUGGAUGCUUCUGCUACCCCUCUGCCGAGGCGCUUAAACGCUGCAGCCCCAGGAGCCGGAAAAAAAAAGAGCUCGGCUUUUGGAGACGGAGCAUCGCAUCCCGAGAACUUCCCGGGAGCCAGGUCGCGGCUCCAUCCCGGCGCGACGCGGGCAGGUGCCGUGGCGCUCCCGGCAGCCGGGGGGGGGGCCUCAAAUACACGAUUUG
This 498-nucleotide long non-coding RNA is filed under the name Struthio camelus australis. Its description in RNAcentral is "lncRNA (ENSSCUG00000010215.1)". The record is from RNAcentral. Lineage: Eukaryota; Metazoa; Chordata; Aves; Struthioniformes; Struthionidae.